UAGUCUGCAAUUGUGAAGAGACAUGAGAGGUGUAGGAUAAGUGGUAAGCCCAUGUUGCGUCGCGAGCUAAGGGGUGCCGCCGGUGAAAUACCACUACUUAUAGUUUUUUCACUAACCCGGUGAGGCAGGGUGGGAGAGCCACAAGAGGCUCUCGCUUCUGGCUCCAAGCACCCGGCGUGUGCAGGGGUCUCUGGCUGGUUCU
Non-coding RNA from Pelobates cultripes (western spadefoot toad), 202 nucleotides. The record is from the annotation of a GenBank genome assembly. NCBI's taxonomy places the organism in Eukaryota, Metazoa, Chordata, Amphibia, Anura, Pelobatidae.